CUCAAAGGACCCCCUCACUCACAUGUCUGGUGUUGUUUCUGGCUGUUGGCUGGAAUUUCAUCUGGGACAUAUGUCAUCUAGAGCAUAUGUCUGUGGCCUCACUAGGUGGCUUGGGUUUCCUCACAGCAUGGUAGCUGCAUCCAAGAGGAGGUUUCGAGCACCCUGGUUCUCCCAGAGAUGGGGACAGAUUUCCACAAAUAGGGACACAGCAGACAAAAGGCAGAGACUGUCCCAGGCAAAGCUCCUCCCCAGGAGGGUUCAUCACCAGAGGAGGGUUUACCUUGAAAGCAAUGAAGGAAACUGAAAAUUCAGGAACUCCCUCCCCCUUACCGAGC
This 335-nucleotide long non-coding RNA is filed under the name Mustela putorius furo (domestic ferret). RNAcentral describes it as "lncRNA (ENSMPUG00000026256.1)". The record is from RNAcentral. Lineage: Eukaryota; Metazoa; Chordata; Mammalia; Carnivora; Mustelidae.